ACCUGGAAACAAGAAGUUCCCGAUCAACUGUUGCUAUGCGAGAAUACUACUGCUAUAAGUUCCAAAUGCGCCCAGCAGAAAACAUAUUGUUGUUGGGUGGGAGGUUGCUACAACAGUUUACAGUUGACAUGUACAUAAAAGUAGAGACAUCACGAUUAAAUUACUAUGAACGGAACCAACCCAGAAUAAGGGCAGAACUGUACCAGGGAAUUGUGGAUUGCGUGAACGCCGGGGACGCUCACCCAACCAGAAUUGGGAGGCGUAUAGUUCUUCCUGCAUCUUUCAUUGGCGGCCCUCGCGACAUGCGCCGUCGGUUCCUAGACGCAAUGACUUUAGUACAGGAUGAUGGAAAACCAGAUUUGUUUCUGACAAUGACAUGUAACCCCCAGUGGCCUGAAAUUUGUCACAAUUUGCAGCCAGGACAGACUGCACAAGACCGUCCUGAUCUUGUUUCAAGAGUUUUCCGUGCAAAAUUGGAGGACCUGAAAGAACAACUCUUUAAAAAACACAUUCUUGGCGAGGUCAAAUCACACGUUUACGUGAUUGAGUUCCAGAAACGUGGUUUGCCCCAUGCCCAUUUCCUUCUUAUAAUGUACCCGCAUCACAAAAUCAAUAACCCAGAUCAGUAUGAUAAGUUUGUGAACGCCGAAAUCCCAAACAUACAAACGCAUCCCCAGUUGCAUGAACUUGUCGUAAAACACAUGAUUCAUGGCCCUUGUGGCACCCUGCGAAUCAACAGCCCCUGUAUGCAAGGGGAUCCUAAAAAUGUCGUUUUCAUUAUCCAAGACAAUUUAAUGACCGCACAACACAAGGAGAGGAUGCAUAUCCACUCUACAGAAGGCGCAACAACGGGAUAAAAGUCGACGUACGAGCCAACACUCUAGAUAACAGAUGGGUUGUUCCGUACAACCCAAAGUUACUUAUGAUGUUCAACUGCCAUAUUAAUCUCGAGAUAUGCUCCAGUGUUAAAUCCGUCAAAUAUCUCUUCAAAUACAUUUACAAGGGUCAUGAUAAACAAGUCAUCCAUAUAGAUCCGGAUGGCGAGGACGUUGUUAUCAACGAAAUAAAACGAUUCCAGGAUGCACGCUAUGUAUCGCCACCCGAGGCAAUGUGGCGGAUUUUUGCCUUCAACCUUUCUCAGAUCUACCCGACUGUUUUAGCAUUACAACUUCACCUCCCUAAAAAUCACACAGUUACAUUUACAGACACCGCCAUAAUCUCUGAAAUAAUACACCGGGAAAGGGAUAAACAUACAAUGCUCACUGCUUUUUUUGAGAAAAAUAGACAGGAACCAGCAGCCCGACAGUAUUUGUACAAAGACUUCCCAUCAAAGUACACGUGGAAUAAAGCCAGCUGUCGUUGGAAUUCCCGUUUGAUAAAAAGGCAACAGAGAGGUCGAAUUGUUUCCGCAAAUCCAUCUGAAGGAGAACGGUACUACUUACGACUUCUUUUGACACACAUCCGGGGGCCUACUUCGUUUGAACACCUUCGCACUGUACAAGGUGUGGAACACCCUACUUUCCGUAAAGCCGCUUUAGAAAACGGGUUAAUUGAAAACGACAACAACUUAUCACUAUGUCUCGAUGAAGCCGCCAUAUUUCAAUUCCCAAAUGCCCUUCGGAGGUUAUUUGCAACCAUAUUGGUCUUCUGUGAACCAGGCGAUGUUCGCAAGCUAUGGGAUGACCAUUUUGACACACUUUCAGAAGACUAUCAAAACCUUUCCAGUAGCAACAAUCACAUCCAAAAUCUGGUCUUACAGGAUCUUAGUUCACACCUACAAUCUAUGGGUAAAGAUUUGGCCGACUAUGACCUCCCAACCAUAGAAAAUGAACACACGCCACUAGACGUAACAGAUCGUGACACACAAGAGGAGUUAAACAUAGUUAUUGACCCGGCCCACUUACAUGCGCAAUACUCCCUCAACUCUGACCAACGGAAUGUGUUUGAUGUAGUGAUGCACUACGUUACACAUGGCGUACCAGCAGUGUUCUUCAUUGACGGCCCAGGUGGAACUGGGAAAACAUUUUUGUACAACGCAUUGCUCGCUGAGGUCCGUUCACGAGGCCUAAUUGCACUUGCAACAGCUUCAUCAGGCGUCGCGGCAAAUAACAUGCCGGGUGGUAGAACCGCACACUCAAGAUUCAAAAUCCCGAUAAACCUAUGUAACAACUCCAUGUGCAACUUAAAAAAACAAAGUGGUGUCGCUCGCCUUAUCAACUCAUCGAAACUAAUCAUUUGGGACGAAGCCUCCAUGGCAAAACGACAAUCGAUAGAGGCAGUCGAUCGCACCUUGCAAGACAUCACAGGCAUACCUCUCCCGUUUGGUGGAAAAACAAUGGUAAUGGGCGGAGACUUCAGGCAAGUGCUACCCGUUGUCAAGCGAGGCACGCGAGCACAGAUCGUAGACGCUAGCCUUCGUAUGUCACCUCUUUGGGUAUUGACUAGGAAAAUGCGGUUGACCACAAAUAUGAGGGCAAUCAACGAUCCAUGGUUCUCAGACUUCCUAUUACGAGUAGGAGAUGGAACACAACCGUCAACAGAUGGAACAUACAUCUGCAUCCCCGCAGACAUGACAAUCCCCUUUACCACCAAAGAGGAGUCAAUUAAAGAACUCAUUAACGCAAUCUUCCCAUCACUACGUACAAAUGUCCAACCCACCGAAUGUAUAACAUCACGAGCAAUCUUAACAACUAGAAACGAGACCGUCGACGAGAUCAAUGACCAUAUGAUAGACCUUUUCCAGGGGGACGCAAAAGUCUACUACAGUUUUGACACAGCGGACGACGACAAACAAAACCUCUAUCCAACCGAGUUCCUCAACUCACUGACUAUCAGCGGGUUACCACCUCACAAGCUUCGCCUGAAAACUGGAUGCCCCAUAAUAUUGCUUCGAAACAUCGACCCGUCAAAUGGUUUAUGCAACGGCACACGACUUAUAUGUAAGGCAUUCACACCCAACGUAAUUGACGCUGAAAUAGCAAUCGGUGACCAUAAGGGGAAAAGAGUUUUCUUACCAAGAAUACCCAUGUGCUUAUCGGAAGAUGACAUGUUACCUUUCAAACUAAAGAGAAAACAAUUCCCCAUCCGGCUUAGCUUCUCGAUGACAAUCAACAAAUCGCAGGGUCAAACUAUACCAUACGUUGGUAUCUACCUCCCGGAAUCUGUGUUCUCGCAUGGGCAGCUUUACGUCGCAUUGUCAAGAGGCAAGUCACGUGAAAACACAAAGGUCCUUGUCCACCCGGAUAAAAAAUUUACACAGCCUGGCGUUUACACCUCUAAUGUUGUCUAUCGCGAAGUUUUGCAACCCUGAUCCCCCAAUCUUAUACAAACCAAAACGUACGUUCGGUUAUGUAUUUAAUGUCACCAAGAUGAAAUAAAAACUGGGUCUCCACUCCACCAUACAUCACUUCCCAGAUCCCCCAUAGUGUCUUAUACAAUCUUUCCGAUGUUUAAUGUUGCAGUGACCGGUCUUUUUAAUUCUACCACAACCCCCUACGAAAACAUGUGAUCUCAACUGAGCUGUUCCGUUUACUCAUCGAUUAAUAAACGGACUCUGCUGGUGAAGUUUAAAGGCGACGAGAGGGACCAACAACGUUCAUGCAUCUGAAAGUCAACCAAAAAAAUCAGAACCUGUUCCGCUUGCCAGGUCACAAUUUCACAACCAAGCAAAACAAAUACCACAUGACGCGAUGACGCCUGCCAUUGCAUGCCAAAAUGAAACAACCAACAAGGGCAUCGUAAACACAUAAAUGUAUCUUGUAAUGGUUUGUACUUCCCUAACCGGUUUUCAUGGGAUUUUAGUCACUAAAUGUAACUGGUCUAUUACUCUUUGUGAAUGUCCUCCAUUGGUAUGUUUUUUGCUAAAAUCACUUCCCAGUUCCUCCACAGCCUCUUAUAAAAUCUUCCCUAUGUUUAAUGUUCCAGCGACCGGUCUUUAGAAUUUUACCACAACCCCCUACGAAAACAUGUCAUCUCAACUGAGCUGUUCCGUUUACUCAUGUAUUAAUAAAGGGACUCUGCUGCUGGUACGAUUAUACAUUAGUCCAUACGGUUCUGCUGCUGCUACUAUUAUACAUUACUACA
This is an RNA transcript of Helianthus annuus (common sunflower), 4083 nucleotides long. RefSeq lists it as uncharacterized. The transcript is spliced from 3 exons. NCBI's taxonomy places the organism in Eukaryota, Viridiplantae, Streptophyta, Magnoliopsida, Asterales, Asteraceae. The record is from RefSeq and is a predicted model, not a curated record.